RNAcentral lists this ribosomal RNA (229 nucleotides) under uncultured bacterium. Its description in RNAcentral is "partial 16S ribosomal RNA". It matches the Rfam family "Bacterial small subunit ribosomal RNA", at positions 126 to 354 of the family's 1533-position model. The record is from RNAcentral.
CUGCCUUGGAGUGGGGAAUAACGGCUGGAAACAGCUGCUAAUACCGCAUAAUGCAGUUGAGUCGCAUGGCUCUGACUGCCAAAGAUUUAUCGCUCUGAGAUGGACUCGCGUCUGAUUAGCUAGUUGGUGGGGCAACGGCCCACCAAGGCGACGAUCAGUAGCCGGACUGAGAGGUUGGCCGGCCACAUUGGGACUGAGACACGGCCCAGACUCCUACGGAAGGCAGCAG